This is a non-coding RNA of Paramisgurnus dabryanus, 1613 nucleotides long. The record is from RefSeq and is a predicted model, not a curated record. Lineage: Eukaryota; Metazoa; Chordata; Actinopteri; Cypriniformes; Cobitidae.
CAGCACAUAACAUAAAAACAUUAUAUAUCUACAAGUGUGUUUACUAAAUACAUGUAUUAUUAUGCUAAUGUAAUUUAAUUGAUAAAGGUUUUUUUUAUUUAAGAAAAUCUGAGCAUCACUCAAAAUAACUGUCAACAUGUUUGUCAACUAAACAUGUUUUGUAAACGUUAUACAUUUUAUAAAAAUAUUUAAUAUUUUUAUUAUUGAUAAAGUAUAAAGAACAAAUCAGUGUGAAAACGCAGAUUAUAAAAAGUACAUAAAGUGCCAGCAGAGGAUCCAAAAUAAUGAAAAAAAAAAAAAAACAUCCAAUGCAACUUGGAAAUUGUAGUCAAAAUACAUCUACAGCAGCAUGCUAAAGCAGUACCAACGCCAGGGCAAAAGACUCAAAUUCCCAGAAUGCACCUGCACCCACCCAUUCAUUCCCACCAAUCAGGAUCAACGGCAUUUUUCAAACCGCUACUGACUCGUUUUCAUGCUAAACAGUACGGCUGAGAGGUCAUGUACCAUGUGGUCGACCUUGCUGACGCUGAAGAGGUUUCUGUGUAAAAAUGAUGACAUUGAGACAAACAGACCAGUUCUGGCUGCCGUGGAGGUCAACACACCACUGAUCUACUGGCUGCCCUUCAACGUGAUGCCCAGCCGAUGCCUGACCACCGACGGAACUAGGGCUGCACGAUAAGUCGCAUGUGUUUGUCAGGCGCAUCUCCUCAGUAAUGCCGGUUCCUUGAUUAGUAUUAAAUCGCCAUCAGCUGUUUUCAGAUGUAGCAGCUUUAACUACACAGAGCCGUAGUUCACUGACAAUCGGGGCAAUUUCGCAUUAAUUAUCGCGGACGUAUCGGCUGCGAUAUGUAUGCGAUAUGGCCCAGCUUGUCAGGGAACUACGGCUCUGUAGUUAAAGCUGCUCCAUCUGAAAACAGCUGAUGGCGAUUUAAUACUAAUCAAGGAACCGGCAUUACUGAGGAGAUGCGCCUGACAAACACAUGCGAUUUAUCGUGCAGCCCUAGACGGAACCCGUUAAAUCUCCUUAUCCGUUUACAUCCCAUAUAUAUAUAUGUGUAUAUCUUUUCCUCCUAGGACUUUUUGUUCCUCCCUGAGGUUUUUCUCCUAGGGUUUUUUUAACCCCGGGGAGUCAAGCAACAUUGGCUUAACUUAGCACCCUCUUGUAUACGAGACAUUAUUAAUUUGCUCACUUGUAAAGUUUAUUCAUAGCCGCUGUAUUUUGCUACUUAUAUUGUCUGUCGAUUUUUCUGUUUCCCCUGCUUCUUUUAAUGUAAAGCUGCUUUGAAACAACUACAAAUUGUGAAAAGCGCUAUACAAAAUAAAAUUGAAAUUGAAAUGUCUCUUUCCUGUUUUACAGAUGCAGUGAGGGAGUGAUUCCCCAACAUCGAGGUGGCAGAGAUCCGGGACCUUCUACGGAGGAAGUGCAACAAUGCCAGUUACAAGGCCUCCAGUAGUUCAAAUCAGAGCUAGAUGUCCAUAUAGUACAAGUUGUUCGCAAUUGUUCUCUUCCCGGCAUUUCAAAGAAAGUCGACUGUUUAAGGUUCCCCAUUUUGCCAAUAUCUGUUUUGUGUGUUACUUUUGUGUCAUUAAUAAAGAUCCUUUUUUGAAAUGCA